This 1660-nucleotide long non-coding RNA is filed under the name Ananas comosus (pineapple). RNAcentral describes it as "long non-coding RNA (ACOM_LNC022691)". The record is from RNAcentral. Lineage: Eukaryota; Viridiplantae; Streptophyta; Magnoliopsida; Poales; Bromeliaceae.
UCUCACCUCGCAGCGCAUCAUAAAAGAUCUGCAUAACGAGAUGAACUUAUUGAAGGAAGCAAAGGAGAAGCUUGAAAAUGAGGUGGGAUUCCAUUUAGAAGAAAAAGAAACUCUUCAGAAAGACCUAUAUCAGAGGAAAGAAGAAAUUGAGAGACUAAAUAGGCAAAUUAUCUCCUCUGAGCUUAUGAUGAAGGAUUUUCAUAAUGACGCAAAUUCUCUGAAGGAAGCAAAGGAGAAGCUCGAAAAUGAUGUAGGGUUCCAUUUAGAAGAAAAAGAAGCUCUUCAGAAAGACCUUAGUCGGCACAAAGAAGAAAUCGAGAGAUUAAACAAACGUUCUCUCUCCUCUGAGCUUGUGAUAAAGGAUCUUCAUAAUGACAUAAAUUUGUUGUUGGAGGUGAAGGGGAAACUCGAAAAUGAUGUAGGGUUCCAUGUGGAAGAAAAAGAAGCUCUUCAGAAAGACCUUAGUUGGCACAAAGAAGAAACCAACAGAUUAAAUGAACACAAUCUCUCCUACGAGAUUACGAUAAAGGAUCUUCAUAAUGACCUAAACUCGUUGAAGGAGGCAAAGGAGAAGCUUGAAAAUGAUGUAGGGUUCCACGUAGAAGAAAAGGAAGCUCUUCGGAAAGACCUUAGUUGGCACAAAGAAGAAAUCAACAGAUUAAAUGAACACAAUCUCUCCUCCGAGCUUGUGAUAAAGGAUCUUCAUAAUGAUCUAAACUCGUUGAAGGAGGCGAAGGAGAAGCUUGAAAAUGAUGUAGGGUUCCAUGUUGAAGAAAAAGAAACUCUUCACAAUGACCUUAGUCGGCACAAAGAAGAAAUCGACAGAUUAAAUGAACAGAACCUCUCCUCCGAGCUUAUGAUAAAGGGUCUUCAUAAUGACGUAAACUCGUUGAAGGAGGCAAAGGAAAAGCUUGAAAAUGAUGUACGGUUUCAUGUAGAAGAAAAGGAACCUCUUUGGAAAGACCUUAGUUGGCACAAAGAAGAAAUCAACAGAUUAAAUAAACACAAUCUCUCCUCCGAGCUUAUGAUAAAGGAUCUUCAUAAUGACCUAAACUCGUUGAUGGAGGCAAAGGAGAAACUUGAAAAUGAUGUAGGGUUCCAUGUUGAAGAAAAAGAAACUCUUCAGAAAGACCUCAGUCGGCACAAAGAAGAAAUUGACAGAUUAAAUGAACACAACCUCUCCUCUGAGCUUAUGAUAAAGGAUCUUCAUAAUGAUGUAAACUCGUUGAAGGAGGCAAAGGAGAAGUUUGAAAGUGAUUUAAGGUUCCAUGUAGAAGAAAAGGAAGCUCUUCAGAAAGACCUUAUUCAGCGUAAAGAAGAAAUUGAUAGAUUAAAUGAGCACAUUCUUUCUUCUGAGCUCAGGAUAAAGGAUUUCCAAAAGGACAUAAAUUCGUUAAGGGAAGCAAAGGAAAGGCUCGAAGAUGAUGUAGGGUUGUAUUUAGAAGAAAAAGCAGCUCUUCAGAAAGACCUUAAUCAGAAAAAAGAAGAAAUCGAUGGCCUAAAGGAACAAAAUCUCUCCUCUGUGCACAUGAGAGAAGAUCUCCAUAACGAAAUAAAUUUAUUGAAGGAAACAAAGGAGAAGCUCGAAAGUGAAGUGGGGUUCCAUUUAGGAGAAAAAGCUGUUCUUCAGGAAGACCUUAAUCGGCACAAAGAAGAAAUU